AUACGAAAGGUGCAAGCGUUGUUCGGAUUUACUGGGCGUAAAGAGAUCGUAGGUGGUUUAUUAAGUCGGAUGUGAAAUCCCGGGGCUCAACCCCGGAACUGCAUUCGAUACUGGUAGACUAGAGUUUGGGAGGGGUAAGCGGAAUUCCGUGUGUAGCAGUGAAAUGCGUAGAUAUACGGAGGAACACCUGAGGCGAAGGCGGCUUACUGGACCAAUACUGACACUGAGGAUCGAAAGCGUGGGUAGCAAACAGGAUUAGAAACCCCAGUAGUCC
RNAcentral lists this ribosomal RNA (274 nucleotides) under uncultured bacterium. RNAcentral describes it as "partial 16S ribosomal RNA". It matches the Rfam family "Bacterial small subunit ribosomal RNA", at positions 523 to 796 of the family's 1533-position model. The record is from RNAcentral.